CGCCACUUUUGAAAUGUAGCACAACGCCUUCUCAGUCAUGACUGAAGACGAACAGCAAUCUUAUUUCGGAGCACUUGAACCGGUCCCACCUUCCAAUUUGCCUGGUAUCUCGUCUGAGCGACAAUUGAGCAGAGUUGAAUACCGUAAUGAUUUGUGCAUGCCGCCUGUAAGGAACCAGGGUAGAUAUGGCAGCUGCUGGGCC
Long non-coding RNA from Daphnia pulex (common water flea), 202 nucleotides. RefSeq lists it as uncharacterized. The transcript is spliced from 3 exons. The record is from RefSeq and is a predicted model, not a curated record. Lineage: Eukaryota; Metazoa; Arthropoda; Branchiopoda; Diplostraca; Daphniidae.